UUACCGUUAAAGUAUAACGUCUUGUAUUUGGACGUUAUAUAUAGAAAGGUAACUUUUUUUUACACUUAUUAAUGUACUUUUAGUCCAAAAAACAACAAUUGGGUUCCGGGCUUCGUGCCAACUAUUUUAACCCUUAGGAGAUUUUAUUGAUAUUUCCUCACUGUUUUGACUUUAUACUUGAACUCAGUCAUGUUAUAUUCCACUGUUUUCAUAACUCAACCAUGUUUACUCUGUUUUAACACAUAAAUGAUCUUUUAAAUGAUAUUUUGAGCUGAGAAUCAUGUUUUGCUAUUGCCCGAGUGGCUUGUGAGAAUUUUGACUGAGUAAGGUCGAUGACCUAUUUGUGAGGAAACACUGAUUAUGAUUAUGAGGCCGAGGGCCUGAGAUAUGUACGCCAUGAGGUGGUUUGUUGAUAUGAGCCUGAGAACCUAGUGAUGAUGCCACGAGAUGGCUUGAUAUUGUGCUUGGGCCGUAAGGGGCCCCUCCAGGAGUCUGCACACCCCUAGUGAGUGCGGGUACCCAUUGUGAUGUGAGAGAUAGCCCGAGGGGCUGGUAUUAUUGACAUUGUGCCCGAGGGGCAAAAACCUUUAUGUGCUUAUCUGUCUCAUUUGUCUGUCAUUUAUUUGUUUAAUUGUUGAAAAGGUGUUUCUUGAAGUCUAAAUUGAACUUAUAUGAUUAUUCGUAUCUUUACUGAUUCACUGUAUUAAUGAUUUUACUACUUUAUUAUAGUAUGCAAUGCGCCUUACGUGAUUUCCUAUUUUUAGUCUUUAUUUAUGAUUAUUACUCACUGAAUUGGAGUCGCUUUACUCCCUGCACGCCAUGUGCAGAUUCAGGCGUUGCGGAUCCUGCUAGUGCGAGUUGAGAGCUCCCGGCAGAUUUCAGAGUCCACGAGGUAGCUGCUUGGCGUCCGCAGUCCCGUGCUUCUCCCCCUUUAUCAUUCUAUCUCUUAUCAGACAUUUUGUAAUAGCUUAUAGACUUUUCAUGACUUGUAUUAAGAUUGGUAGAUGCUCAUAACUAGUGACAUCUCAGUAUCAGGCUGUGUUGGGUUGAUCUUCCGCAUAUUUGUACUGUUGACUGCUUAAACCUAGGGUUAUUUU
This 1097-nucleotide long non-coding RNA is filed under the name Nicotiana tabacum (common tobacco). Its description in RNAcentral is "long non-coding RNA (NTAB_LNC015298)". Lineage: Eukaryota; Viridiplantae; Streptophyta; Magnoliopsida; Solanales; Solanaceae. The record is from RNAcentral.